CUUUAUAGAGAUUAGUGCACUGUUGGUAACAGCAAGUGUCAGGAAACAUGAAAAAAAUAUGAUUUAAUUAUUGAAACUGUUUGGAUAAAAAUGAAAAGUUUCUUGUACAAUGUCAUAAUUGAAUCCAUUGAUGUCCAUAAAUGUAAUUAAGAAUUUUUGAGUUUUGAAGUCUUUUUCACUUUUACGAGAUUUUAGAAGAAUUAUUAUUUCUCAUUAUUUUUACAAGUCUUGCUGGUCUGAUGCCAAAAAUUGAAUUGUAUACUGUAGAAUCAUGGAUGGCUCUGCUGGAUUCUGACUCAUGCCCUAAAUUAAGAAAUGGCUCUGAAUGUUGUCUCAAGGGAAGCAUGGAUGAACAUGGCCAGGGAGAGAGUAAAAGGAUGAAAGAACAAGGUGCCUACCAUGGAGGAUGCAAAAGAAAUUUUUCCCCAAGGACUGUAGUCCCAGUGUCAAAGAAUGAAGAAGAAAGAAAAUGCAAAAACAAACUAUAUGAAGCUGAAUAAACUCAGUGUCGUGGCAAAUGGCAAAUGCCAUGUUCUUUCCUUUUUCCUUUUUUUUUUUUUUUUUUUUUUUGAGACAGAGUCUUGCUCUGUAGCCCAGGCUGGAGUGGAGUGGGGUGAUCACGGCUCAUUGAAGCCUGGAACUCAUGGAUUCAAGUGAUCCUCCAGUCUCAGCCUCCGGAGUAGCUGGGAGUACAGGCACACACCACCAUGCCUGGCUAAUUUUAUAUUUCGUAGAAACAGUUUCACUAUGUUGCACAGACAGUGCAUAUGUUCUUUUCAUAUGUCCUUUCUUAUUGAACACAUAAACCAAGUACAAAUUUACCAGAUGUCAUAGACAUGUAAAUGUGAUUUCACUUUAACUAUGAGCCAUUGAUUCCAGGGUAUUGUGUUUUUUAGGAUUUAGGUUUCACAUUCUGAUUUUAUCUUCAGGAAUUAAUUGAUUUAUACACUAUAUCACAAAAUACAUAGAACCUAUGGUCAAAUAUCAGAAUUGAUAUUCUCUGAACUGAGUUACAUUGGAGAAAAUCUCAGAGCUUUACGUAAUGGCUCUGUUGCAAAUUUACAGUCUUAAAGCUCAGCAGAGCACUUUAGACUGCUUAUAAAUUAUGGAGAGUUGGGAAGAAUAUUUGAAAUCUGGACUAUCCUAGAAUAGCUGGGAAGAAGUUUAAGGUUCAAUGUAGGGUGGGAGGAAGAGACAGCUGUCAAAAAUUCUAGCUUGGGUAACUGAGACAGAAGAUGCCAGAAGAUGAGGUAUUUUUAGAGGAAGGAUGAUGAGUCAAUUUGGGACACACUGGAUAGGAAGCACUUGUUGGACAUCUAGAUAGAGAUGACCAGUUGAGAGUUAUAUAAAAUGUGUAACUCAGAGAAGUGGUCUGGGCAGCCCUCAGAAAAUGAACUUGACUUAAGCCAUUUGAGGAAGAAAAUGAACACAGUUUAACAGUUGCAUGGAGCAGGGCUCCCCUGUGGGCACAAAAUUAGAAUGAAAAUCAUAUGUAAUUAUUCCCUUAGCCUAGCCUACCAUCGGAGCCACUGACUGCGGUGUGAGGUCUCUUUUAGUCUGGAUUCUGAGUGCAUAGUGGAACUUCAGAGGAGAGCAGUCUGCUCAAUUCCUCUUUGGGCAGGAGAGGGCACAGAGUUAGCAGUGACCUGCAACCAAAGGAUAGUUUCCUCACUGUAAGGAAAAUUCUGGACAAUAAUAUUAAAUGAUUGCUCACAGAAAGAUAGAUUUAAGUGCUCUGAAAACAAUAACAGCAAUGCUUUGGCUUGAAAAAAGGUAAACUCUUCCAAAAUUAGAGAGAUGUUUUAUAUAGACCAAAAAAGGUAGUGAGAGAAGCUGUCACACUGGCUGAUAGUAAUAACUGACAUUGGGCAUUGCUAGGUCUGGGAACUAUGCUGAGUGCUUUAUAUAUAUUAACUCAUUUAAUUCUCACUAAACCCCGUGGAGUAGGUACUGUUAUCAUUUUAUAGUAUGAGGAAACUGACACCCAGAGAUUUUAAAUAUUUUACCCAGGGUUAAACAACUAGUAAGGGGCAGAGCAAAGACUUGAAUUUAGGCAAUCUGGGUUCAGAGAUCAUGACCUUGUAAUACACUUCCUGUGUUAAAUCAAAACAACCCACUUUGGUUUCAACAUACCACAUGCAAGGUUCAUACCAGUACAAUUUGCGCCAUAAAUAGCGCAAAUGCUAUGAAAAGGCUGAUAGAUAAUAGGAAGCUUUAAUAUCUAUACUCAUUUAAUCCAGAGUUUUACUCCCCCUCACCAUGGAGAAACUAUGCAGCGCUAUGAAAGAAUGCUCAACAGUGUUUUGUUUUGUGUUUUUUUUUUUUCCAACUAUCUCCUCUGCAGAACUCUGCUAAUGACAGAAUUUGCAUACUAAUGAUAAUUGCAACCAAGAAAGCUGUAUUCUCUUUCUACUCGAGGCAAUUGAAUAAAGAAGUGCUGUGAGGCAAUUAUUGCAGUUAGUUAUAGAAAAUUCUCUGAAAAACAAGACCAAAACAUAUAUACUCAAAUUCAGUAUGAUUGCACUUAUCAAAAUUAUUUGCUCCUUUUAAAUCAUCAUAAUAGAAUUAUUGCUCUGGGUUCUUUGACUGUAUUAACCCAGUCCUCCCAAUGGCUCUAUUAUUUAGGUUUACAUUUUUCCAUUUUAUGGAUGAGAAAAAAGAGAAGUUUAACUACGUGCCCAAUAAUUCAGGUAUAAACUUUAAAAAGGUUAUUAAGAGAUCAUUUAGAUCAUAUUUCUAUUCUCUUAUUUUUAUUCUAUCUUUUGAUUAUUAUAAAACUAAUUAUAAAUGCUGCUAGACAUACUUUGCUGUUAUAAUUUUACUACAUAUAAUGGAACACUUUUACUCUACAAUUUCAGUGCCCUUUUACUUGAUUAUGGCAAAAUUCUUUGCUAAUGACACCUGAUUUUCUAAUUAUUCUAAUGACACCUUAACAUGCAUGACUGUGUUGUUGGGUUACUUUUUCCAUGGGAGUUUCACUAAUUCCAUUUACUUGCCAGUUGGUGUACUUCAACACUGUUAAUUUAUAUUAGCAUUAGAAACCCAUUGAGAACACAAGUCAAUACUCAAUUCAAAACAAGGUGACUUUAAUUUAAUUUCUUUAGGUAUAAGAAAUCCUGAAAUCUGAACCACGAUAAAAAACUGCAGGAUUGGAAACCUAGAUUCAGGACAAGACAACCAAAAUCAUAAAGACUCCUUUACAACUUCAUAGUUUGUGCAGUCUUAGCAAAUAAUAUUAUUUUCAUGAUCGGAAAGUGUAUUUAAACUUUAAUGUAAGGUUUUAUUUUAUUUUGUCUAUUUUUUAUUGGCCUUACAGACAAGAUAAUUUUAUUCUUUUCUAGUUGCUUUAAUGUCUUUCUUGUUUGAUAUUUUCUGUUUUUUUGUUCAGUUAUCAUGAUUGUUAUUUAGAAACAGACUUUUGAAGUGUGAGUCUUAAAGGUGACUAAGUUCAGAGCAUAGCCAGUCCUCGUAUUUAUUGGUAAUUGACUUUUUUUUUUUUUUUUCCUGAUAGGGUCUUACCUGUUGCCCAGGCUACAGUGCAAUAGUGAGAUCACAGCUCACUGCUGCCCCAAACACUGGGCUCAAGGUGUCCUUCUCUCUCAGCCUCCUGAGUAGGUGGAACUAUAGGCACGUUCCAUCACACCCUGCUAAUUUUCCUUUUUUCUUUUUUUAGAUAUGGAGUCUCACUAUGCUGGCCCGACUGGUCUCAAACUUCUGGGCUCAAGCAAUCCUCCCAUCUGCCUCAAUUUCCCAAAAUGCUGGAAUUACAGGCGUAAGUCAUCACACCUGGCCAGUAAUUGACUCUGAAAGUAAUACACAAAGAUUGGAAAGUGAUCUAAGUUCUGAAUUCAAAUAUUAACACAUGCAUUUUGCUAUUUCUUUGUUUUUUAAUUGCAGUAAGAACAAAUAACAUGAGAUCUGUCUUCUUAUCAAAUUUGUAAGUAUAUACUAGAGUAAUAUUAACUACAGGUGCAAUGUUGUACAGCAUUUGUUCUACAUGAUGUUCUACAGGUGUCUGUAGAACUUAUUCUUCUUACCUAACUCAAACUAUGCCUGCUAAAUGACAAAUACCCAUUUUCCUCUCAUCCAGCCUCCAGCAACCACUAUCCUACUUUCUGUUUCUGCCACUUUUACUAAAUUAAACUCCAUGUAUAAGUGGAAUCACAUAAUAUUUGUCCUUCUGUGACUAGCUUACUUUACUUAGCAUAAUGUCCUCAAUGUUCAUUCAUGCUUUCUUAUAUAGCAGGAUUUCUUUGUUUAUUAUGGUUAGAUUAUAUUCCAUUACAUGUUUAUAACACAUUUUCUUUAUCCAUUCAUCUCUCAAUGGAAAUUUUGGUCAUUUCCACAUUAUGGCUAUUGUGAAUAAUCAUUCAAAAGAACAGAAUAGGGAGCCAAGAAGGAAACUCAUGC
This 4410-nucleotide long non-coding RNA is filed under the name Cercocebus atys (sooty mangabey). Its description in RNAcentral is "lncRNA (ENSCATG00000045392.1)". Lineage: Eukaryota; Metazoa; Chordata; Mammalia; Primates; Cercopithecidae. The record is from RNAcentral.